Molecule: ribosomal RNA, 253 nt
Filed under: uncultured bacterium
Lineage: Bacteria
Description: partial 16S ribosomal RNA
Rfam family: Bacterial small subunit ribosomal RNA
Source: RNAcentral
UACGAAGGGGGCUAGCGUUGUUCGGAAUUACUGGGCGUAAAGGGCUCGUAGGCGGCCAACUAAGUCGGACGUGAAAUCCCCAGGCUCAACCUGGGAACUGCGUCCGAUACUGGAUGGCUUGAAUCCGGGAGAGGGAUGCAGAAUUCCAGGUGUAGCGGUGAAAUGCGUAGAUAUCUGGAGGAAUACCGGUGGCGAAGGCGGCAUCCUGGACCGGCAUUGACGCUGAGGAGCGAAAGCCAGGGGAGCAAACAGG